CUCCUCUCCUCUCAUUCAUUCUUAAUAAAAAAUAAAUAGAUUAAUUAAUAAUUUAAUAAAGGGGGCAAAUAUAAGAAGAAUCAUACAAGUCAAUCCCUUUACAGCAUCUGUCCCGAAAAAAAAGGAAAGACCAGAGAUGGCUGCAUAUUCACUCAUUUCCACGGUGUUCCACUCUUCCCCAACUUUCUCUCCACUUUCUCGCUCGACAUACAGAAAUCCAUCUCUGUGUUUGUCUAAAUCUUCAUCUUCCUCCUUCCGCAAAACUCCAAUCUCUAUCCUCUCUCUUCUCCGCCAUAAGUCCCAUCAAAACCAGACUCCACUUAAAUCCUUCGAACCCUCUUCCUUCUCCAAACUCCUCUCCUCUAUUAAGCCCGUUGCCAUUUCUCUCGAUUCUUUCCUCGUUCUCUGUACCUCCCUAGCUUUGUCUCUUUCCCUUUGCAUCGCCGAUGUCGAUCCGGCCUCCGCAUUUGUUGUCACCACGCCGAGGAAGUUGCAGUCCGAUGAGCUCGCUACGGUUCGUCUUUUUAAGGAGAACACGCCUUCUGUCGUUUACAUUACCAAUCUUGCGUCCAGGCAGGACGUGUUUACACUCGACGUUUUGGAGGUUCCGCAGGGUUCUGGGUCGGGCUUUGUUUGGGAUAGAGAUGGUCACAUUGUGACUAACUACCAUGUGAUCCGAGGUGCUUCCGAUCUCAAGGUCACUCUUGCUGACCAGACAACUUAUGAUGCUAAAGUAGUUGGAUUUGACCAAGACAAGGAUGUUGCCGUGAUACACGUUGAUGCACCGAGAGACAAGUUGAGACCUAUUCCGGUUGGCAUCUCUGCAGAUUUGCUUGUGGGUCAGAAAGUCUUUGCAAUUGGCAAUCCUUUUGGACUUGACCAUACUCUUACCACUGGUGUUAUUAGUGGGCUUCGUCGAGAAAUUAGCUCUGCGGCUACAGGCCGUCCAAUUCAAGAUGUCAUACAGACUGAUGCUGCAAUUAACCCCGGUAAUAGCGGAGGACCACUUCUAGACAGUUCUGGAAAUCUUAUCGGGAUAAAUACAGCUAUAUAUUCUCCAUCCGGUGCAUCUUCCGGUGUCGGGUUUUCAAUUCCAGUUGACACUGUAAAUGGCAUAGUUGACCAGCUGGUGAGGUUUGGUAAAGUUACAAGACCUAUUUUGGGGAUUAAGUUUGCACCGGAUCAAUCUGUUGAGCAGUUGGGGGUUAGUGGGGUGCUCGUUUUGGAUGCUCCUGCCAGUGGUCCUGCUGGCAAAGCGGGACUAAAACCAACCAAAAGGGAUACCUAUGGAAGGCUCAUAUUGGGUGAUAUCAUAACAUCUGUGAAUGGACAAAAAGUAUCUAGUGGCAGCGACUUGUAUAGAGUUCUAGACCAAUGCAAAGUGGGCGAGAAGUGCUAAACUCAUUGAACUGCAACUCUACAAUUUUGCUCUGGGUUAUUGCUAACUUUUGUAAUGGAAAAAGGGAUAACUGUGGAGGUGUUGCGCGGUGAUCACAAGGAGAAAAUCCCUGUAGUACUAGAGCCAAAGCCUGAUGAGUCAUAACAUAUCAUACCAAUUGGACCGGACCGGGGGCAGAGGGGUAUAUUUAUAUUACAGUACAAAAACAAGGGAUGAAUUAAUUCUCACUGAAAAUGGGGCUUGUACAUAUUUUUAUGCAAGACUUGUUUAAACGCAUCACUAUUUUUGUGUAUAUACUACUAACACAAUCAAGAUUUAUGGUCAUUGUAUUAUCAUGACAUUUGCUUUGGAACAGUCUAUAUUUUAAUACAUAAUAAGCUAUAAACUCUGUUGCUCAGA
This is an RNA transcript of Humulus lupulus (European hop), 1798 nucleotides long. It is a transcript of the gene named protease Do-like 1, chloroplastic, with no coding region annotated. Lineage: Eukaryota; Viridiplantae; Streptophyta; Magnoliopsida; Rosales; Cannabaceae. The record is from RefSeq and is a predicted model, not a curated record. The transcript is spliced from 9 exons.